UCCUGGCUCAGGAUGAACGCUAGCGACAGGCUUAACACAUGCAAGUCGAGGGGCAGCAUAAAAGUAGCAAUACUUGGUGGCGACCGGCGCACGGGUGAGUAACGCGUAUGCAACCUACCUAUCAGAGGGGAAUAACCCGGCGAAAGUCGGACUAAUACCGCAUAAAACAGGGACACCGCAUGGUGAUAUUUGUUAAAGAAAUUCGCUGAUAGAUGGGCAUGCGUUCCAUUAGGUAGUUGGUGAGGUAACGGCUCACCAAGCCGACGAUGGAUAGGGGAACUGAGAGGUUGGUCCCCCACACUGGUACUGAGACACGGACCAGACUCCUACGGGAGGCAGCAGUGAGGAAUAUUGGUCAAUGGGCGAGAGCCUGAACCAGCCAAGUCGCGUGAAAGGAAGAAGGAUCUAUGGUUCGUAAACUUCUUUUGCAGGGGAAUAAAGUGCAGGACGUGUCCUGUUUUGUAUGUACCCUGAGAAUAAGGAUCGGCUAACUCCGUGCCAGCAGCCGC
Molecule: ribosomal RNA, 509 nt
Filed under: uncultured bacterium
Lineage: Bacteria
Description: bacterial SSU rRNA
Rfam family: Bacterial small subunit ribosomal RNA
Source: RNAcentral